UUUUCAUUAAAGCCAAAAGGCUGCUUUAAGAUUUGCUGUGGCUUUCUCCUUUUAAGACAAGUACGCAUUUCUGAAGAAAAUAUGCCUUUACAAAACUCAACGCCAGCUUACCAAGCUGUGUGUAUCUUAAUAAGUGGCAUCGUUUUGAAGACGUGCUUUGAAGAGUCUAGAUAUUAAGACGCAAGAUUUAAAGAAUCCACAGAACUUAUUUUCAGAGCACAUUUACAUGUCUUUUAAACCGAUUUUUUUUAUUAUGACGUGUCCAAGACAUUUAGCACCAUUUAAGAGGAGCAGCGCUGAAACACAGAAUUGAAAUUGCUUGAUAACACAUCUGCAUUUUAAACUUUAAGCUCGCUUUCAAAUACACUGUACCAUCCGUGUUUACUAUAAAUACAGAGAGGGAAUCAGCCACCCUGUUUUCUGGCAGAGCAUCUGGGAUUCACCGGGGCUGGCUUCUCCUGGUAUUCUGUCCCCUGCUGUCUCUCUGACUGUUGGCUAGUGGAGUUCCAAAGAAUAAAGGGGCCCUUGGACCCUCUGCCAUCACACGGGAGGGCAACAGAGAGGCUCCCAUCAGCUGACCAACCAAGGCUUUCCUUCUUCAGACUAGAGAGCUGCCAGAGGCAGAGGGCGGCUCCCAGGAGAGGUGUGAGGGACCCAGGAGCUGGGGAAAUGCCCCGGGUGGCAGAUGCCACUUCCACACUCGUCAUCUUUCCUCCUGGCCAUCGCUGGAAACCUGGGGACUCUGGAUGCGGAGGGAUAAUAUGCCAAAGCCAGUGUCAGCAUCUAGGGUGCAGAGACUCUAAUUCUCCUUCUCCCUGCUCUGCACCCCGCCUGUCCUGCUCUUUCACAACAUUUUCAAAUAUGUAAGCUACAUGAAAUCAAUGCAUCUUCCUGUUCCUCAAUGAAGUCUGCCCAGGACCAGAAAAGGAUGCCUUAUAACCAUUACAGUUACAAAGUAUAUUAAAAUUAAAGACUUCACAUUGUGUUUGAAAUAAAAAUGAAUAUAGUGGCA
Molecule: long non-coding RNA, 1012 nt
Filed under: Sus scrofa (pig)
Lineage: Eukaryota; Metazoa; Chordata; Mammalia; Artiodactyla; Suidae
Description: lncRNA (ENSSSCG00025023253.1)
Source: RNAcentral